RNAcentral lists this ribosomal RNA (253 nucleotides) under uncultured bacterium. RNAcentral's name for it is "partial 16S ribosomal RNA". It matches the Rfam family "Bacterial small subunit ribosomal RNA", at positions 524 to 776 of the family's 1533-position model. The record is from RNAcentral.
UACGUAGGGUGCAAGCGUUAAUCGGAAUUACUGGGCGUAAAGCGUGCGCAGGCGGUUUGCUAAGACCGAUGCGAAAUCCCCGGGCUUAACCUGGGAACUGCAUUGGUGACUGGCAAGCUAGAGUGUGGCAGAGGGGGGUAGAAUUCCACGUGUAGCAGUGAAAUGCGUAGAGAUGUGGAGGAAUACCGAUGGCGAAGGCAGCCCCCUGGGCCAACACUGACGCUCAUGCACGAAAGCGUGGGGAGCAAACAGG